Long non-coding RNA from Perca fluviatilis (European perch), 938 nucleotides. RefSeq lists it as uncharacterized. The record is from RefSeq and is a predicted model, not a curated record. The transcript is spliced from 8 exons. NCBI's taxonomy places the organism in Eukaryota, Metazoa, Chordata, Actinopteri, Perciformes, Percidae.
AAAUAAUAAAGUCCCCAGCAUUAAAGAGAAGCAGCAAAUUAUAGCAGCUAACAAAGAAGUGGCUAACAGCAACAAAGAUGCCAGCACUUAUCUGGCAUUGUGAGGGUAUGGGAAUUCUUGGCUCCAGGGUGGAUCAGCACCCCUUGCCUCAUCCACUGCACCUCUCCCGAAUCCAGACUCACCUCCACCUCUAGAGUUGCCUCACUGUACUCUUCAGCUACAACUGGUGUCAUCUUCUUGACCGUGAUGUUACGAAGCUCCGCUAUGAACUCAACAACACGGGGAGCUGAAGGCAAAGCACUUUUGGCCAUCUUUGUACCAGCUGACGACACCAUUUGGACGAGACAAUUCGCAGCUCAGAAUAAUUUCCUCUGGGACAUGACGGUCAAGGUGGACAUCCUCCUUGGGGUAGAUUAUCACCACCGGGGGUUCUUAGAAAGAAGAAUACAUGAAAUUGAAACAUUGUCCACUUCCAUCUUUGUACCACUGGACAACACCAUCAGCCCUCGAUACUUCACAUGACAGGACAAACUCUUCUUUUUCCACGACACUCUUGAAAAGGUCCUCCUCUGGGAUAUCAACAAAUGUUACCGGUGGCGCUGCAGAAAACGGUACACAAAAGAAGAGUUUCAACCCAUCCUUAUACCAGUCGACAUGGGCAGAAGGAUCAUGAGAAAGAUCACAGCUGAGGACAAUGGGAGAACCUUCUUGGACGGACUUGGUCCUGUCAGUCUCUUGAAGCUCUGAGAACUUCACAGCAAACUGGAUGUCAUCAUCCUUUGACUCACAACGGUAAACGCCAGUGUGAGACCGCUCGGCUGAUGGGACAACUAGACUCCUCAAAUUUCCCUCUGACUGGAUGUCUACACCAUUUUGAGCAGUAUAACCCAGCGUGGAAAAAUUCUGCUGAAUGGACAAUCAAUUUUCUCGCCAAGCCA